This 301-nucleotide long non-coding RNA is filed under the name Vigna radiata. Its description in RNAcentral is "long non-coding RNA (VRAD_LNC003439)". The record is from RNAcentral. Lineage: Eukaryota; Viridiplantae; Streptophyta; Magnoliopsida; Fabales; Fabaceae.
UAACGACGUUAAAGUGAGAGUUUAAAAGAAAAAAUAAAAAAUAAUAAAAAAUGGAGGGACUUUCAUUCAGUGAAAAAGUUAAAAAUCUCUUUGGAUACUGAUAAUAAUUGUAAGAUAUCUCUUUUGAUACUUAUAUUUGACGAAAACUACAUCAUAGAACCAUGGGACUAGGACGUUAAAGUGAGUGUUUAAAAGAAAAAAGAAAAAAAAUAAAAAUAAAAAUUUGAGCGCCAUUGGCUUCUGGUAAAAGCAUCCAAUUAAUGCUCCCAACCACUCCAAUGCCCUUCACGUUGAUUCCCGC